ACGUGUUCGUUCGGCCGCUCGGGUCGGCCCUGCACCGACGGAGACGUCGUGCUGCGGGCUCUCGGGCGUGCCUUCCAAACCAAACCCCUGUGCACCUUUGGGAGGGCCGAGCCUUCCAGGCGAGGCCGUCCCCUUUACAAACUCUGUAUGUCAUAGAAUGAUCGCGGACUUCGUCUGCCUAAACACAUAA
Molecule: unclassified non-coding RNA, 190 nt
Filed under: uncultured fungus
Lineage: Eukaryota; Fungi
Description: sequence contains ITS1, 5.8S rRNA gene
Source: RNAcentral